GCUUACCGUGGCAGUGACGGUUAACGGGGGAUUAGGGUUCGAUUCCGGAGAGGGAGCCUGAGAAACGGCUACCACAUCUAAGGAAGGCAGCAGGCGCGCAAAUUACCCAAUUCUAACAGCAUAAGAGAGGUAGUGACAAGAAAUAACAAUACAAGGUAAUUAAAUUGCUUUGUAAUUGGAAUGAUAGAAAUUUAAACACUUUUUAAAGUAUCAAUUGGAGGGCAAGUCUGGUGCCAGCAGCCGCGGUAAUUCCAGCUCCAAUAGCGUAUAUUAAAAUUGUUGCAGUUAAAAAGCUCGUAGUUGAAUUUCUGUUAAAAAUAACCGGUCUGCUUUUAUUAAAAGUGGUAUCUUGGUGUGUUUUUAGCAAUAAUGUCCUUUGAAAUGUUUUUUACUUUAUUGUAAUAAGUCAUUAUUUUGAGGAUUUUUACUUUGAGAAAAUUAGAGUGUUUCUAGCAGGCUUACGCUUUUGAAUACUGCAGCAUGGAAUAAUAAGAUAGGAUUUUAGUUCUACAUUAUUGGUUUUAAGAACUAAAUUAAUGAUUGAUAGGGAUAGUUGGGGGCAUU
This 564-nucleotide ribosomal RNA is filed under the name Hepatozoon sp. RNAcentral describes it as "bacterial SSU rRNA". It matches the Rfam family "Eukaryotic small subunit ribosomal RNA", at positions 339 to 892 of the family's 1831-position model. Lineage: Eukaryota; Apicomplexa; Hepatozoidae. The record is from RNAcentral.